Molecule: ribosomal RNA, 292 nt
Filed under: uncultured bacterium
Lineage: Bacteria
Description: partial 16S ribosomal RNA
Rfam family: Bacterial small subunit ribosomal RNA
Source: RNAcentral
GUGUCAGCAGCCGCGGUAAGACAGAGGGUGCAAACGUUGUUCGGAUUUACUGGGCGUAAAGCGCGUGUAGGCGGCUUUGCAAGUCGGAUGUGAAAGCCCACGGCUCAACCGUGGAAGUGCAUCCGAAACGGCAUGGCUGGAGUCCCGGAGAGGAAGGUGGAAUGCUUGGUGUAGAGGUGAAAUUCGUAGAUAUCAAGCAGAACACCUGCGGCGAAGGCGGCCUUCUGGACGGUGACUGACGCUGAGACGCGAAAGCGUGGGGAGCAAACAGGAUUAGAUACCCCUGUAGUCC